Molecule: ribosomal RNA, 429 nt
Filed under: Pseudomonadota bacterium
Lineage: Bacteria; Pseudomonadati; Pseudomonadota
Description: Proteobacteria bacterium partial 16S ribosomal RNA
Rfam family: Bacterial small subunit ribosomal RNA
Source: RNAcentral
UGGGGAAUAUUGGACAAUGGGCGAAAGCCUGAUCCAGCCAUGCCGCGUGUGUGAAGAAGGUCUUCGGAUUGUAAAGCACUUUAAGUUGGGAGGAAGGGCAGUAAGCGAAUACCUUGCUGUUUUGACGUUACCGACAGAAUAAGCACCGGCUAACUCUGUGCCAGCAGCCGCGGUAAUACAGCGGGUGCAAGCGUUAAUCGGAAUUACUGGGCGUAAAGCGCGCGUAGGUGGUUCGUUAAGUUGAAUGUGAAAGCCCCGGGCUCAACCUGGGAACUGCAUCCAAAACUGGCGAGCUAGAGUAGGGCAGAGGGUGGUGGAAAUUCCUGUGUAGCGGUGAAAUGCGUAGAUAUAGGAAGGAACACCAGUGGCGAAGGCGACCACCUGGGCUCAUACUGAAACUGAGGUGCGAAAGCGUGGGGAGCAAACAGG